Molecule: long non-coding RNA, 340 nt
Organism: Silurus meridionalis
Lineage: Eukaryota; Metazoa; Chordata; Actinopteri; Siluriformes; Siluridae
Exons: 2
Source: RefSeq, a predicted model, not a curated record
GCCAGAAACAACAGACAAUAUCAAGCAUCGGACUAAAAAGGAAAAAUGCCUACUGAAAAAUGUCCUGCCGUGCCCCAAUGGUGCUAUCGCUCGCCACAUCUAGGCAGGUGCGGCCAAGCGAGGUGUGACAUCACACAAACGCAAUCAAGCGAGUGUGUAUCUAACUGCUCGAUCGAGGAGCCUGUUCUCACAUACACAUGAUACUCGUGUGUGACAUGAUCCCUAAGAAAGUCUAUGAUUGCAUGACAUCCAACACUGUGUGUGUGUGUGUGUGUGUGUGUGUGUGUGUGUGUGUGUGUGUGUGUGUGUGUGUGUGUGUGUGUGUGUGUGUGUGUGUGUG